CCUACGGGUGGCAGCAGUGAGGAAUAUUGCACAAUGGGCGCGAGCCUGAACCAGCCAAGUAGCGUGAAGGAUGACUGCCCUACGGGUUGUAAACUUCUUUUAUGAAGGAAUAAAGUGAGGCACGAGUGCCUUUUUGGAUGUACUUUAUGAAUAAGGUUCGGCUAACUCCGGUCCAGCAGCCGCGGUAAUACGGAGGAUCCGAGCGUUAUCCGGAUUGACUGGGUUUAAAGGGAGCGUAGCUGGGGUGUUAAGUCAGUUGUGAAAGUUUCCGGCUCAACCGUCAAAUUGCAAUUGAUACUGGCAGCCUUGAGUACAGUAGAGGUAGGCGGAAUUCGUGGUGUAGCGGUGAAAUGCUUAGAUAUCGCGAAGAACUCCGAUUGCGAAGGCAGCCUCCUAGACUGACACUGACGUUGAGGCUCGAAAGUGUGGGUAUCAAACAGGAUUAGAUACCCCAGUAGUC
RNAcentral lists this ribosomal RNA (460 nucleotides) under uncultured bacterium. RNAcentral describes it as "partial 16S ribosomal RNA". It matches the Rfam family "Bacterial small subunit ribosomal RNA", at positions 338 to 795 of the family's 1533-position model. The record is from RNAcentral.